CCUACGGGCGGCAGCAGUGAGGAAUAUUGGUCAAUGGGCUUACGCCUGAACCAGCCAAGUCGCGUGAGGGAAGACUGCCCUAUGGGUUGUAAACCUCUUUUGUCAGGGAGCAAUUGGCGCUACGUGUAGCGUUCUCGCGAUUACCUGAAGCAAAAGAAUCGGCUAACUACGUUCCAGCAGCCGCGGUAAUACGGAGGGUGCGAGCGUUAUCGGGAUUUAGUGGGUUAAAAGGGUGCGUAGGCGGCAUGCCAAGUCAGCGGUAAAAUCGCGGGGCUCAACCUCGCUACGCCGUUGAAACUGGCGUGCUUGAGUGGGCGAGAAGUAGGCGGAAUGCGUGGUGUAGCGGUGAAAUGCAGAGAGAUCACGAAGAACUCCGAUUGCGAAGGCAGCAUACCGGCGCCCAACUGACGCUGAAGCACGAAAGCGUGGGUAGCGAACAGGAUUAGAUACCCCGGUAGUC
Molecule: ribosomal RNA, 460 nt
Filed under: uncultured bacterium
Lineage: Bacteria
Description: partial 16S ribosomal RNA
Rfam family: Bacterial small subunit ribosomal RNA
Source: RNAcentral